UAUAGCUCCCAAUAGGGAGAACGGAGUCCUGCCUCAUCCUUACCCACUACACUAUGAAUAAUUCCCCCAGAUCAUUUAUUUCUGAGGAAUAAACUAACCCCCUUAACUAACCACUUAACCACAGCCCAGGAGAUGCGAUGCAUUUCCCUGGAAGCCACUCAGAUGUUUGCAAGGCUCCGAUGACAACCCAGGUGUUGGCUUUCCUCCCCUAGGACUCCACAGGGUCUCCUGGAGUGCCGAGCUAGGCACUCUUCAGCCUGCCCUUGUUUGCCUCUCUCUCCUGUCCCUGUCCCAUUGCAGCCACCAACGACCAUUUCUAAGCAGCUGGGGAGUGGAAACAUAGUCACAGCUACAGAGACCAAACCCUUUGCAUAGCCCUGUCGUGCAAAUAGAGACCAACUGAUUUUCCAGUAUAUCAGUAAGGGAACGAAAGAAACCAUUAGUAGUGAGGGCAUCGUUUCAGUUGGAGAAAUAAAUUAUCUGGGGCAAUUAUUCAUAGACACUAGCUUGGGGACGAGGAGCCCCGCUGGCCCUUGUAAAACACCAGGGGAAACCCUGUCAGACAAGGUUGGGUACCCCCAAGGUGGAAAAUAAGAGGUGAGGGAUGUCUCCUCUGCUUGGAAGUCUCAGCUCCCAGCCCGGGGGCUCGGUCCAAAGGGACGAGGGAGCCCUGGCUGAAGCUCUGGGUCCCUUUCACGAAGAGAGAGAGGGGGGAGUAGUUAAUAAGCCACAAAUGACUCACAAAUAACAGGAAAGCUGUUUGCAAAUCUUCACAUGUAAAUGCCUGGCAGCCACCCCCACCCCUGCUCAGAGAGCAGCGAGCGAGAGCUCACUCUGGGCACCUUUCUAAAUUCUCAGCUAGUCCUGCCAGUCUGUGUCUUUGGGGUGGCUUUGGACGUGAGCUGGCCUGUAGGAGAUGGCAUUUUGGGGACAGCCGCAAAGACAAGGAGCGGCCGGCUACUCACACAGCGCCGCAGCCGCAGCCUCAGCGUUUUCAGCUUCUCCCCCAGGGAGUUCACGUGCUCUUUGAUGUCCGGGCCGUGGUUCUCAGCCUGCGGCAUCACCUCCUCCAGGUAGAACUGGAUCAUCUCAGACAAGGCUUGGCAACCCAGAGAGAAGAAGAAUCUCAGAGCUAUCUGGUGGCAGAGCUAUGAAUAGAUCAGGCGACAGCCCUCCUGGCAGCCAGUCCUUGCUCAGAGAAACCAGAACCUUCUGUGUCUGGUUGUGCCAAACUGAAGUUGAAGGAGGAAGCAGAACAUACCUGGUAUAGGCCACGGAGACAGAGAAGUGCUUGCAAAGCCCGACGUGAUUCCAAGAAGAUGUGCAGAGGAAGCCUGCGGAGCUGUGUGUUCCGCGCCAUCCACAUGCGUGUGUGCAAACACCCCUGGGCUCUGUCCCCUGGGGUGAGUCGCUUCCGUUCUGGGGACUUCGGAUGUAGGACCGUUCCCUGGGACCAGAGAUGCCUGGUUGAUUUCAAGGGUCUGGAAGACUGCCAGGACUGCCGUUGCCUGAGUCGGGAGGUCCCUCACUGCUAGGCUGCUGGCCAGCUCGAGGGGGAAUGGAGGGGUCUUCAGAUUGGAGAAAUCGAAGGUGAGAGGCGGAGUGUAGGGUGGAAAGGAAGACCAAUAAACCCUGCCCUCACGCCCUUUCCCCAUCAGCUCCCACCCUGGUCACGCCCAUUUCUUCACACCUGCUCAGUCUUCCCCAAGGUUGUUAGCUGCAAUGAUAAAAUCAGCUACCUGAAGCGGAAAGGGGGUCGUAUUGUAAGGAGCCCAGGGUAUCUCAAAAUAUCCACGAACAGAAGCUGCUGCAGGACACAUGCCUGGUUACUUUCCGACUUUUCUUGAUGUCCUUGCAUCCUGCUUUCUCCCUGGACCAGCUCUCUCUGCACUUCUGGGCAGCUUGCAGGAGACCACAGCUACCCAGCUCUCAAGGCUACUGUCUUUAAUUCCAGGGGCCAGCCGAGGCUGACCCGUGCUCUGAAGUCCCAAGUCCAAAUUCCUGGGAGACGGACUAACAGCUCAGCUUAGGUCAGGUGUCCACCCUGCAAUCAGGGGACCAGGGUCAGGUGGCUUCGAGAGUCAAGGUGGGAACACAUCAUAAAUGGUGCCCCAGGUCAAAUGGUGCGUCCUCCACGAAGACCCUCUGACCGAUCGAUGCUAUGGAAGAAGUCCCCUUCCUCCUGAGUCCCCUGUCUCUGUCCCUCUUCUUGGCAUGCAUUACUUUCUACCUUGUGUUAGUAUUGUCUUUGUAAACAUCUUAUCCCUUCUCCCACCUACCUAUAAGCUGGUUUAUUUAUCUUCACUUAUCUCACAGCUUGUGCAAAGAAAAAAAAAAUUGGACAUGUACU
Microcebus murinus (gray mouse lemur) is the source of this 2350-nucleotide non-coding RNA. The record is from RefSeq and is a predicted model, not a curated record. NCBI's taxonomy places the organism in Eukaryota, Metazoa, Chordata, Mammalia, Primates, Cheirogaleidae.